This 207-nucleotide ribosomal RNA is filed under the name uncultured bacterium. RNAcentral's name for it is "partial 16S ribosomal RNA". It matches the Rfam family "Bacterial small subunit ribosomal RNA", at positions 568 to 774 of the family's 1533-position model. The record is from RNAcentral.
UGCGUAGGUGGGCAGGUAAGUCAGUGGUGAAAUCUCCGAGCUUAACUCGGAAACUGCCAUUGAUACUAUCUGUCUUGAAUAUCCUGGAGGUGAGCGGAAUAUGUCAUGUAGCGGUGAAAUGCUUAGAUAUGACAUAGAACACCAAUUGCGAAGGCAGCUCACUACGGGGUUAUUGACACUGAGGCACGAAAGCGUGGGGAUCAAACA